This 419-nucleotide ribosomal RNA is filed under the name uncultured bacterium. Its description in RNAcentral is "bacterial SSU rRNA". It matches the Rfam family "Bacterial small subunit ribosomal RNA", at positions 508 to 927 of the family's 1533-position model. The record is from RNAcentral.
ACAGCAGCCGCGGUAAUACGUAGGCAGCGAGCGUUGUUCGGAGUUACUGGGCGUAAAGGGUGCGUAGGCGGUUCUUUAAGUUUGGUGUGAAAUCUCCCGGCUCAACUGGGAGGGUGCGCCGGAUACUGAAGGACUAGAGUGCGGGAGGGGAGAGUGGAAUUCCUGGUGUAGCGGUGAAAUGCGUAGAUAUCAGGAGGAACACCUGUGGUGCAAACGGCUCUCUGGACCGUAACUGACGCUGAGGCACGAAAGCGUGGGGAGCAAACAGGAUUAGAUACCCUGGUAGUCCACGCCCUAAACGAUGCACGUUUGGUGUGGGUGAUUCAGUUCAUCCGUGCCGGAGCUAACGCGUUAAACGUGCCGCCUGGGGAGUACAGUCGCAAGGCUGAAACUCAAAGGAAUUGACGGGGGCCCGCACA